This 1178-nucleotide ribosomal RNA is filed under the name uncultured bacterium. RNAcentral's name for it is "bacterial SSU rRNA". It matches the Rfam family "Bacterial small subunit ribosomal RNA", at positions 212 to 1381 of the family's 1533-position model. The record is from RNAcentral.
CUCACGUCAUAGGAGCGGCCGAUGGCGGAUUAGCUAGUUGGUGAGGUAAAGGCUUACCAAGGCGACGAUCCGUAGCUGGUCUGAGAGGACGACCAGCCACACUGGGACUGAGACACGGCCCAGACUCCUACGGGAGGCAGCAGUGGGGAAUCUUGGACAAUGGGGGCAACCCUGAUCCAGCAAUGCCGCGUGUGGGAUGAAGGCCUUCGGGUUGUAAACCACUUUUGGCGGGGGCGAAAUAUCGAGUGAUAAUACCAUUCGGUGAUGACGGUACCCGCAGAAUAAGCACCGGCUAACUACGUGCCAGCAGCCGCGGUAAUACGUAGGGUGCGAGCGUUAAUCGGAAUUACUGGGCGUAAAGCGUGCGCAGGCGGAUUGUUAAGCAAGAUGUGAAAUCCCCGGGCUUAACCUGGGAAUGGCAUUUUGAACUGGCAGUCUAGAGUGCGUCAGAGGGGGGUGGAAUUCCACGUGUAGCAGUGAAAUGCGUAGAGAUGUGGAGGAACACCCAAUGGCGAAGGCAGCCCCCUGGGAUGACACUGACGCUCAUGUACGAAAGCGUGGGUAGCAAACAGGAUUAGAUACCCUGGUAGUCCACGCCCUAAACGAUGUCAACUGGUUGUUGGGGGAGUGAAAUCCCUUAGUAACGAAGCUAACGCGUGAAGUUGACCGCCUGGGGAGUACGGUCGCAAGAUUAAAACUCAAAGGAAUUGACGGGGACCCGCACAAGCGGUGGAUGAUGUGGAUUAAUUCGAUGCAACGCGAAAAACCUUACCUACCCUUGACAUGUCCAGAACCCUGCAGAGAUGCGGGGGUGCCCGAAAGGGAAUUGGAACACAGGUGCUGCAUGGCUGUCGUCAGCUCGUGUCGUGAGAUGUUGGGUUAAGUCCCGCAACGAGCGCAACCCUCAUCCCUAGUUGCCAUCAUUCAGUUGGGCACUCUAAGGAAACUGCCGGUGAUAAGCCGGAGGAAGGUGGGGAUGACGUCAAGUCCUCAUGGCCCUUACGCGCUGGGCUACACACGUGCUACAAUGGCGGUGACAGUGGGCAGCAACUCCGCGAGGAGUAGCUAAUCUCCAAAAACCGUCUCAGUUCGGAUUGUUCUCUGCAACUCGAGAGCAUGAAGGCGGAAUCGCUAGUAAUCGCGGAUCAGCAUGCCGCGGUGAAUACGUUCCCAGGCCU